AAGUUAAAAGCUUAUUUUAAAGCAUUGAAUUUUUAAUUCAAAGAAGGGAUUACUUCCCUUAACUU
This 65-nucleotide transfer RNA is filed under the name Ibidoecus bisignatus (glossy ibis head louse). RNAcentral's name for it is "tRNA-Lys". It matches the Rfam family "tRNA". From Rfam's summary of the family: Transfer RNA (tRNA) molecules are approximately 80 nucleotides in length. Their secondary structure includes four short double-helical elements and three loops (D, anti-codon, and T loops). The record is from RNAcentral. Lineage: Eukaryota; Metazoa; Arthropoda; Insecta; Psocodea; Philopteridae.